GACCUGGUGGUGUACGGCAACACACCUGCUUUACUUGAUCAUCAUCGAAUCUUCGUGCAACAUUGUGCAGGAGACCCCCGUUCAAACCGGGGCCAGGUCG
This is a non-coding RNA of Mycena olivaceomarginata, 100 nucleotides long. NCBI's taxonomy places the organism in Eukaryota, Fungi, Basidiomycota, Agaricomycetes, Agaricales, Mycenaceae. The record is from the annotation of a GenBank genome assembly.